GGCAGUAGCUUAAUGGUAGAGCAUCUGCUUCGCAUGCAGAAAGUCCCGGGUGAAAUCUCCAGCAUCCCCU
Podarcis lilfordi (Lilford's wall lizard) is the source of this 70-nucleotide non-coding RNA. NCBI's taxonomy places the organism in Eukaryota, Metazoa, Chordata, Lepidosauria, Squamata, Lacertidae. The record is from the annotation of a GenBank genome assembly.